ACGCUGCUACAUGCAAGAUCCAGGACCCAGCUGGGAAGUUAAGGAACUGGAAAGCCCUCGCCGGAAGGACAGAGACCUCCUAAAACCCGAACACAACUGGCCAAGGAAGAGAGAGCGUGAGUGGCACUGGGAAAACCCCAAGCACCGUAAUCAGUUCCUGUGCAGCGAUGGGCUUCUCCAUCAUUCCCAAAGCGAGGCUCCAUCGUAAGAUCUGAAGACGAAGCAUCCGAAGCCUUUGCCUGAGGAGGUUUCAGACCCCUGAGUUAAGAUGUUGCAAGCAACAAAACCACGAUGGAGUUACUCAACCCAGGGCCAUUUCUCCUCUUCCACCACAUUGCUUCUCCUGAAGGCGUGUCCUGUUGCUAAACUCAAUUUUGGUGAUUCCCACUGUCAAACUACCCCUACAUUCAAGGCCAAUAUGGCAUAUGAUUGGGAAAUAAAACAUUCUGACGUUA
Molecule: long non-coding RNA, 455 nt
Organism: Ornithorhynchus anatinus (platypus)
Lineage: Eukaryota; Metazoa; Chordata; Mammalia; Monotremata; Ornithorhynchidae
Exons: 3
Source: RefSeq, a predicted model, not a curated record